UAUGUGAUCGUCUCUCGCAUAUCAAUAAGCGGAGGAAAAGAAACUAACAAGGAUUCCCCUAGUAACGGCGAGUGAAGCGGGAAGAGCUCAAAUUUGAAAUCUUAAAGGGUUUCCCUUUACGAAUUGUAGUUUAAAGAAGUGUUUUCUGUUGAGGUUUUGGUAAAAGUUCCUUGGAAUAGGACAUCAUAGAGGGUGAGAAUCCCGUAUUUGACCUUUACUUUCAACUAUGUGAUACACUUUCAAAGAGUCGGAUUGUUUGGGAAUGCAGUCCAAAAUGGGUGGUAAAUUUCAUCUAAAGCUAAAUAUUGGCGAGAGACCGAUAGCGAACAAGUACCGUGAGGGAAAGAUGAAAAGAACUUUGAAAAGAGAGUUAAACAGUACGUGAAAUUGUCAAAAGGGAAGCGUUUGACACCAGUGUUGUUUUUCUGAAAAUCAAUUAAAGAACUGUUUAUGCUAAGCUGUUUAGACUUUAUCAGCUAACUGUUUAGUUUUGAGCUUUUCUUUAAUGCACUUUUCAGUUAACAAGUCAACAUCAAUUUCUUUUGCUGUAAAAAAGCUUGAGGAAGGUGGCUUGAGAUUCGUCUUAAGUGUUUAUAGCCUCUUGCCUAUGCAGUCGGAGAGAUUGAGGUCUGCAGCGUAGAUCCUUCGGGGCUAAAUGCAUUUGUGCUAAGUUAUAGCAUUUUAUAGACAACUUGUUGACUAUGAUUUGUCUUGUAGCUUACUCGCUUAUGUUAUUUUACCUACGCUUAGGAUGUUGAAGACUCUACAGAGAUA
This 774-nucleotide ribosomal RNA is filed under the name uncultured Neocallimastigales. RNAcentral describes it as "partial large subunit ribosomal RNA". It matches the Rfam family "Eukaryotic large subunit ribosomal RNA", at positions 24 to 633 of the family's 3401-position model. Lineage: Eukaryota; Fungi; Neocallimastigomycota; Neocallimastigomycetes; Neocallimastigales. The record is from RNAcentral.